GUUUUAUUUUAUUUUUAUUUCUCCUCGUGCACAUAAUGCAAAUUGUUUUUGUUUUUUUUGCUUUUGAGUUGAACGUGACAUUUGAACAGUGACGUGUCAUUAGUUGUGUAUGUGUUUUUAUUUCUUUACUAUUGUCACUGCAUAACGUACAUUUUGGGUUUUGGGAAAUUGUGACUCAUUAAAGAUGGAUGAGCUGAACUUAUCUGCUUUAGGCAGGGGUCAGACAUUUAUGUUUAGCCCAUCACUCCAGAAAGGAGGUUUUCGGGGGAGGCCUCUGACAUCCACUCCUCAACAGGCCAAAGUGAAUGGUGCUGAGGGUGGUGACGUUUCUUCUAGUGCUGAUCAGUUAGCUGGUCCAUCUGCAUUUUCUGGGGGUAGGGAUGUGGACCAUGUCCCUGUGCAUGUAUUAACUGACUUAUUUAAGCAGAUAGGGACUAGUAUUGGGGAGAACAUUGCCUCUUGUCUUAGGUCCGCCCCAACUGGUGAUGUUACUUUGGCCCCUUCGACCAUUGCUGAUCUCUCUAAGAUGAGCCUGACUGUUAGCCAGCAUAGUGGUGAACCGCAUCCCUUCAGGGGGGACAAGACUGACAAACUUUCGGUUUCUGAGUGGGAAGACUGUGUUAAAGUGUAUCUGACUAAGAGGGAUGUUCAGUUAUGUGAUCAGGCGGAAGAAGUAAUGGGCAGGCUACAGGGUAGAGCACGUGAUGUUGUGAGAGUGGGGGUGCGUAGCAAGCCUAGUUUGGUCUUACGGUUAGGUCCUCAACCCAUUUUCGACAUACUCAAGCAACACUUUAGUGAGUCUGUGACUUCUUUCAUGCCUCUUGCUGACUUCUAUGACACAAAGCCCUUAGAGAAUGAAAGUGCUGUUGACUAUUGGAUCCGGCUUAACAAGGCACUCGACACAGCUACGGAUGGGCUGAAAAGGCAAGGCAAAACUAUUGAUGACUCCUCUAGGGAAGUGACUGUCAUGUUCAUCACUCACUGUCCCGAUCGAGAACUGUCUCUGGUCUUCAGCUGUAGGCCACUGGAGGAGUGGACUGCCAUGGAUGUGCAGGUACGGCUUGAUGAGCACCAUCACAAAAAACGUCUUCAGCAACGCCAUUCAGCUGCACGUCCAACAGACCACCUGCAAUAUUCUCAGGCUGUUGAUGCUGUGCAUAGUCACGUGCAGACUGCAGUGACUCCUGCUGCCCAACCUGCCAUGACCGGCGGGCCGGCGUCAGGUGAGAGUCACGUUCUUGGGCAUAUUGUCACUCUGCUGGAGCGUUUGUUACAACGGGAGUCUCCUCAGCGUUACGGGCAGCCUAGACAGAGACCUGUCGGUCGCACCCGGGCUCGGGGGCCAUGCGCCAUUUGUGGCUGCGACGACCAUGACACUGCUUCCCACUGUCGGAACGAACGUCUAUGCUUCCGCUGCCAUGCUGCUGGGCAUCAAGCUGCCACUUGCUCAGCCCCACCUGCUCCUGGUUCACCCACGCAGCAGGGAAACUAGCUGACCCGCACGAGGAGGGGUCUAGUGAAGGGUCAGCUGGCGCAUCC
RNAcentral lists this long non-coding RNA (1539 nucleotides) under Gadus morhua (Atlantic cod). RNAcentral's name for it is "lncRNA (ENSGMOG00000035373.1)". Lineage: Eukaryota; Metazoa; Chordata; Actinopteri; Gadiformes; Gadidae. The record is from RNAcentral.